GGUUGAUUUCUAUAUUUUUUUCUCAAAAACUGUUUACGAUCAUCAUUGAAUACAGAACACAUAAAAAUAUAAUGAAAUUCAUCUCCGAUGUCGCCAGAAUUACAAAGUAAGCAUUUUCUAUUUUCUCUUGCAACGUUUUGCCAUCUACCAGUCUCAAUAGGAAAUCUAUGACUUCCUGUUCUCAAUCUACAUAAUGUAAUAAUAUUUC
Molecule: long non-coding RNA, 208 nt
Filed under: Mytilus galloprovincialis (Mediterranean mussel)
Lineage: Eukaryota; Metazoa; Mollusca; Bivalvia; Mytilida; Mytilidae
Source: RNAcentral